GUUCAACCACUAUCGAUUGAAUUCCUUGAAUUGUGGAACGUGAUAUGACUGCUUUAAUAACUGCUUUGAUAACUGCACUUCUUGAUAACCGCGACGCUUUAUGUUUGUUAAGACUUUGGGCGACUUGAAAGUUUGGGCGAGAAUAAAGUAACAGCUCUGGGCGACUGUAUGACAUUCCAUUCGCUCAAAUUCUGGGCGACUUGCAAACUUGAGAGAUGGCGUUACCGCGUUCUUGGGCCUCCUUAUUUGGGCCUUCAUCUUGAUUUGUUCAAUUGGACUUCGUUAUUUGGGCUAUCUGAUUUGAGGAUUCUCCAAUUGGGCUUCACUCCUUGGGCUGUUCGAUUUGGGCUGCAUUUUUAUGUGUUAACA
RNAcentral lists this long non-coding RNA (369 nucleotides) under Olea europaea (common olive). RNAcentral's name for it is "long non-coding RNA (OEUR_LNC011387)". The record is from RNAcentral. Lineage: Eukaryota; Viridiplantae; Streptophyta; Magnoliopsida; Lamiales; Oleaceae.